GUCCACGCCCUAAACGAUGUCAACUAGUUGUUGGUAGAGUAAAAUCUAUGAGUAACGCAGCUAACGCGUGAAGUUGACCGCCUGGGGAGUACGAUCGCAAGAUUAAAACUCAAAUGAAUUGACGGGGGCCCGCACAAGCGGUGGAUUAUGUGGAUUAAUUCGAUGCAACGCGAAAACCUUACCUGGCCUUGACAUGUACCGAAUUUGGGAGAGAUUCCUUAGUGCUCGAAAGAGAACGGUAACACAGGUGCUGCAUGGCUGUCGU
Molecule: ribosomal RNA, 265 nt
Filed under: uncultured bacterium
Lineage: Bacteria
Description: partial 16S ribosomal RNA
Rfam family: Bacterial small subunit ribosomal RNA
Source: RNAcentral